AGCCCUACGGUAGCCAGCACUGAGGAAUUUUCUGCAAUGCGCCCAAGCCGGCCAGAGCAAUACCGCCUGAGGGAAUAAGAAGUCCUGUGGGUUGUAAACCUCUUUCUCAAAGAAGAACCUCGCCGUCUGAGAAGCCGUGCCGGG
Molecule: ribosomal RNA, 144 nt
Filed under: uncultured bacterium
Lineage: Bacteria
Description: partial 16S ribosomal RNA
Source: RNAcentral